AGUCUACAGGCAUUAACACCACAAUCAUGAGACCAUGCUGUGCAGCAUACCUUCAGCCAAGCACAAUGAGCAACAAAGCUGCUUUCGUUAUUGCCGCCAUUUUCAGCAAUCAUGGCAGAAGACCUAUACCAAAGCGGGGGAUGAUCAAGUCUCGAAUAGCUACAAGUGCAAUACACUCCAUCGCCUCCAUACUCCGGAGGGCUAUUCACAGCAUGCGCAUCCUGAUCAAAAUCCAUUUUGAAGAAGGGUGAAUUAGGUAUCAUUCAUUUGGAAUUCAUAUGGUUUGAUGAAUGUAAAUCUACAAUCAAUCCAAGUAGAUCAAUUUUUUAAAAUUUCUGUUUUUGUUGCAAAUACAAUGUAUAAAUAAACUAGAAGCGAAGAUUUACAGCUUUGUGCAUGAAUAACAUGUUCAGUUUUUAAGUUUUCUAAUGGUACACAUUCAGGCAACAAUGAUGAUGCUUUUUAAAUUGGUCAAAUAUUAUGCUUGGAGCUGAGUUGGUGCUGUUCCAUAGAUUUCUGCUGCUGUAGUGGA
This 532-nucleotide long non-coding RNA is filed under the name Elaeis guineensis (African oil palm). RNAcentral's name for it is "long non-coding RNA (EGUI_LNC010750)". Lineage: Eukaryota; Viridiplantae; Streptophyta; Magnoliopsida; Arecales; Arecaceae. The record is from RNAcentral.